UCCUCAGGACCUGGGGAUUCAGGGAGAAGACUCUACAGGAUGGUUGCUGUGAGCUUUGGGAUGCUGUGUGUUCUACAAAUCACUCUCAACAUCUCCCUGAGACUAGUCUAGAAAACCUGUUGCUCUAAUGGAUGGAUGAGGUUUGAAGGCAGCUGUUACUACAUCUCUACUUUCUACAUCUCCACUGUGAAGAACACCUGGGAUUACGCCAGACAGGACUGUCUGAGCAGAGGAGCAGACCUGGCGAUCAUAGAGAGCAAAGAUGAACAGAUGUUCAUCAAUGGGCUUAAAUCAGUCAGUCAUGUCUGGAUUGGUCUGACUGACUCUGUUACUGAGGGGACCUGGAAAUGGGUGGACGGAACCCCACUCACCACCCCAAGGUAUUGGAGGAGUGGAGAGCCUAAUGGUGGUGCAGUGCAGAACUGUGUGGUGGUACCUUACUGGUCAUCAGGCCAAGGAGAUUGGUGGGACGAUCAGUGUUCCAAUCCACAGUACUGGAUCUGUGAAAAAGGCCUUUUGUAGGUACUGCUGUUUAAGGAAUUCUGAAGACUGAUUAUAUAUUUUGGGAAAAUGACACUAUGAACGAGACGUUGGAGAGAGAGAGGCACUUACACACACACACACACACACACACACACACACACACACACACGGAAGCAUUCACACACAGAAAACAAAUGAGGUAUUUACACUACCAGUCAAACUUUUGGACACACCUAAUCAUUCCAGGGUUUUUUUUAUUCUACAUUGUAGAAUAAUAGUGAAGACAUGAAAACUAUAAAAUAACACAUAUGGAAUCAUGUAGUAACCAAAUAAGUGUUAAACAAAUCAAAUAUAUUUAAUAUUUCAGAUUCUUCCAAGUAGCCACCUUUUGCCUUGAUGACAGCUUUGCACACCCUUGACAUUCUCUCAACCAGCUUCAUGAGGUAGUCACCUGGAAUGCAUUUGUUAAAAGUGAAUUUGUGGAAUUUCUUUCCUUCUUAAUGCUUUUAGCCAAUAGUUUUGUUGUGACAAAGUAGGGGUGGUAUAAAGAAGAUAGUCUUUUACCAAAUAGGGUUAAGUCCAUAUUAUGACAAGAACAGCUAAAAUAAGCAAAGAAAAACGGCAGACCAUCAUUACUUUAGACAUGAAGGUCAGUCAAUCCGGAACAUUUCAAGAACUUUGAAAGUUUCUUCAAGUGCAGUCACAAAAACCAUCAAGCGCUAUGAUGAAACUGGCUCUCAUGAGGACUGCCACAGGAAAGGAAGACCCAAAGUUACCUCUGCUGCAGUUGAAAAGUUCAUUAGAGUUAAUUACACCUCAGAUUGGAGCCUAAAUAAAUGCUUCCUAAGUAAAUGAGUUCAAGUAACAGACACAUCCCAACAUCAACUGUUCAGAGGUGUAAGGGUUUUCCUGUGGUGAAGGAGAAGCGGACCAAAAUGCAGCGGGGUGGUUAUUCAUGUUCUUUAAUAAAGGAACUAGACAUGAAAUAACUAACAAAACAAUAAAUGUGGAAAACCAAAAACAGUCCUAUCUGGUGCAAACACAGAGACAGGAACAAUCACCCACAAACACACAGUGAAACCCAGGCUACCGAAGUAUGAUUCUCAAUCAGAGACAACUAAUGACACCUGCCUCUGAUUGAGAACCAUACUAGGCCGAAACAUAGAAAUACCCAAAACCUAGAAAAACAAACAUAGACUGCCCACCCAACUCACGCCCUGACCAUACUAAAUAAAUACAAAAGAAAGGAAAUAAAGGUCAGAACGUGAAAAGAGGAGACUGUGUGAAUCAGGCCUUCAUGGUCGAAUUGCUGCAAAAAAAACACUACAAAAUGACACCAAUAAUAAGAUGAGACUUGCUUGGGCCAAGAAAUACGAGCAAUUAAUAUUAGAAUGUUGAAAUCUGUCCUUUGGUCUGAUGAGUCCAAAUUUUAGAUUUCUGGUUCCAACCGCAGAGUCUUUGUGAGAUGCAGAAUAGGUGAACGGAUGAUCUCUACAUGUGUGGUUCCCAUCGUGAAGCAUGGAGGAGGAGGACAAUGAUCCAACACACCUCCAGGCUGUGUAAGGGCUAUUUGAUCAAGAAGGAGAGUCAUGGAGUGCUGCAUCAGAUGACCUGGCCUCCACAGUCACUUGACCUCAACCCAGUUGAGAUGGUUUUGGAUGAGUUGGACCGCAGAGUGAAGGAAAAGCAGUCAACAAGUGCUCUGCCUAUGUGGGAACUCAUUCAAGACUGUUGGAAAAGCAUUUCAGGUGAAGCUUGUUGAGAGAAUACCAAGAGUGUGCAAAGCUGUCAUCAAUGCAAUGGUUGGCUGCUUUGAAGAAUAUAAAAUAUAUUUUGAUUUGUUUAACACUUUUUUGGUUACUACAUGAUUCCAUAUAUGUUAUUUCAUAGUUUUGAUAUUGUCACUAUUAUUCUAAAAUGUAGAAAAUAGUACAAAUGAAGAAAAACCCUUGAAUGAGUAGGUGUGUCCAAACUUUUGACUGGUACUGUAUAUCACGUAGUAGCUGUUGUCAAUGUUAACAUUUAUAGUUCAUUAUAUAGCAUUGCAUGUAGGCUCUACACAAAUAUCUCUCUCUCUACCUCUAACUCUCCGUUGAUGGUUGGAUCCAUGAAUGUUUAAGUGAUGAUCCCCACCUAGUGGUUAAAGUGAGAGAUGAACUCACCAUGAACAACAUAGAGGUGAAACAGUGGUAUUACACACUUGUCUAUGGGUUUUUUCUCAAUUCAUCCUUCCUUGGUUUAUCCUCGCAUCCUCUCUCCUCCUUCUCAAAACACAUUGGAUAAUACAAUCCUCGGGGAGGGACCUUGGACCUUCUCCUCUAAUAGGGUUGAGCAGAAGGAGAGGAGAAAAGAGAAGAGGAAUCAGACUAUUGAGAUAGAGCCUUAACAGAGAGAGCCUUAAAGGAAGAAGAACAUUUUAAUUAGUGAUGGACAGAGAAAAAUAAUGUUAUGUUGAGAUUUAGAUGAGUGUGUAGACAUACUGUGCUCUAUAAUGCUUGUAUUCUGCUAAAUGUAUUCAUCAUUUUUCUAGAUUUUUUUUUUCAUUAUCAAUUAUUACCAUCAAUCACUUUUAUAAUAAGAAGAACAAAUGCACAGAUGAAUAAAUAAAGGAACAGUGUCCU
This is a long non-coding RNA of Oncorhynchus keta (chum salmon), 3104 nucleotides long. RefSeq lists it as uncharacterized. NCBI's taxonomy places the organism in Eukaryota, Metazoa, Chordata, Actinopteri, Salmoniformes, Salmonidae. The transcript has 5 exons. The record is from RefSeq and is a predicted model, not a curated record.